UCAUUACUGAACUGUCAACACGAGUUGUUGCUGGUCCUCAAAUGGGGGCAUGUGCACGCUCUGUUUACAUACCCACUCACACCUGUGCACCCUCUGUAGUUCUGUGGUGUGGGGGACUCUGUCCUCCCGCUGUGGUUCUAUGUUUUUACACACACACAGUCUCAUAGAAUGUAUGUCGCGUUUAACGCAAUACAAUACAACUUUCAGCAACGGAUCUCUUGGCUCUCGCAUCGAUGAAGAACGCAGCGAAAUGCGAUAAGUAAUGUGAAUUGCAGAAUUCAGUGAAUCAUCGAAUCUUUGAACGCACCUUGCGCCCUUUGGCUAUUCCGAAGGGCAUGCCUGUUUGAGUAUCAUGAACACCUCAACUCUCAUGGUUUGCCAUGAUGAGAUUGGACUUUGGGGGUCUUGCUGGCCUAUGGGUCAGCUCCUCUCAAAUGAAUCAGCUUGCCAGUGUUUGGUGGCAUCACAGGUGUGAUAACUAUCUACGCUUGUGGUUUUCCAUCAGAUAACCUUCAGUGAUGGAGGUUCGCUGGGGCUCAUAAAUGUCUCUCCUCAG
Molecule: ribosomal RNA, 556 nt
Filed under: uncultured Thelephoraceae
Lineage: Eukaryota; Fungi; Basidiomycota; Agaricomycetes; Thelephorales; Thelephoraceae
Description: eukaryotic LSU rRNA
Rfam family: 5.8S ribosomal RNA (bases 199-353)
Source: RNAcentral